This 252-nucleotide non-coding RNA is filed under the name Ligilactobacillus equi. Its description in RNAcentral is "Lactobacillus equi T-box sequence". It matches the Rfam family "T-box leader". Rfam says of the family: Uncharged tRNA acts as the effector for transcription antitermination of genes in the T-box leader family. T-boxes are found upstream of many aminoacyl-tRNA synthetase genes and some amino acid biosynthetic genes usually in Gram-positive bacteria. The record is from RNAcentral. Lineage: Bacteria; Bacillati; Bacillota; Bacilli; Lactobacillales; Lactobacillaceae.
AAGAACGUUAUGAGAAAGACUAGUAAUAAUUAAUAAAAUUCCAGCGAGUCUCGUCCGGUGCAAGGAGACAAUUCCCUGUUAAUUAUGAAUAUCGCUUUCGAGCGUUGGACCAGAACCCUAGUAAGGUCCUUUGGGUACGCCCAUUACAGCGUUAGCGUAUCGCCCUUUGUUUAAUAGGGCCGCACGUGAAAGGAAGCCUUGGCGACAAGGCUUUAAACCCAAGGUGGUACCACGCUUUAAGGCGUCCUUGAA